Molecule: non-coding RNA, 72 nt
Organism: Carcharodon carcharias (great white shark)
Lineage: Eukaryota; Metazoa; Chordata; Chondrichthyes; Lamniformes; Lamnidae
Source: the annotation of a RefSeq genome assembly
GUGAUGAUGGUGCAGUGGUAAGCAUGGCUGCCUUCUAAGCAGGUAACAUGGGUUCAAUUCCCAGUCAUCACA